Molecule: ribosomal RNA, 816 nt
Filed under: Triticum aestivum (bread wheat)
Lineage: Eukaryota; Viridiplantae; Streptophyta; Magnoliopsida; Poales; Poaceae
Description: partial small subunit ribosomal RNA
Source: RNAcentral
AUGAUAUGCCAUCUACAGGUGAGAGUCUUGGCACAACAGCUCCAGCACCUAGCGGGUGCAGAUAUUGCUAAGGUGACUGUUUCGCGUGCUGGUCUUCCACCUAGGCGUCGUAGCCCCCACAAGCAAUCAACAGACAUACCCAACGCACCAGCUGUAGCUAGGAGCAGCAGAGAUGAGUCUGGUUAUGUUCCUGCGUCCACACCGUUCCCGCCACCUGCCAAAAGCAAUGUUAUGGAGAAACCGGAAGACCGGAGUACAACUGAUGCAGGUGUCAAGCCGGGCACAAGUGAUGGAGGUGAAUGUCCGGAGCAGACUGCGCCUUUACCCGCAGUGAAAAUCCCUAGCUUAAAUCUGCGCACUUCCAAGCUCCCAGUCAAUGUUGGUGUCCCCUACAGCCCAAACAAGAAGAUUGUCAAGAAAGUUGCGGCUGAUACCGCUGACAACACGCCCCGCCCUACAAAUAAGACCGAUGAUUCUGCCGCGGCUGAUUCAGAUAUGUUUGUUGAUCUUUCACCAUGGGAUUUUGCCCCGGAAGUUGUUCGCGGUCCGACCAGUAGGCAUGAGAGGCACCCAAUGGCCUUCACCCCACUGAGAUUUAGCCUGGGCAUCAGUCAAGAUCAACCAGUUGUUCAAGAUCCUACGCCAGUUGUCUUUGCUUUCCCGGGAGGUAUGCCCGCAAUGAUGGCGCAGCCAAUGGUCGAGGGCAGGAAGGCUGUCAAGUUCGCAGAGCCGAUCAUCCAAGGUAUCCUAACCCACAUUUUGAUCCUUGCAGGCACCCCUGAGGAGAUUUUGCCGUCACUUGAUGAAGUUUACUGA